AUUAUUAUUUACUUUUUAUUUUUUAUAUUUGUAUAAAUUUUUUAAAUAAGACGAGUGUUCAAACAUUACAAGUAACAAAAAAAAAACUCAAAAUUCAUAUUAUGGGACGGAGGGAGUACUCUCGGUUUCUCGUCACAUCUCUCUCUCGGUCUCUCCUCUGCCUCUUCACGCGUGCCUGAGAGGAAGACGCCAACGACGGCAGUCGGAACGGGACGGCGAUGGGGGGAAGAGAGUGGAAUAAGGGAGCAGCGCCGGUGGGGAAAGGGAGGCUGGGGCGCUGGCUGCUCGGGCUGGGCGGCGUGGCAAGAGGCGGCACGACGGCGCUCGGCGCUUGGCGCGGCGGCACGGCCGGCGUCCGGGAGCCAGGGACGACGGCGACGGCGGAGAAGAGGAGGUGGCGGCACGAGGAGGAGACUGCCUCGGCGCUGUCGGCGGGGCUGUGCCCGGCUGAGCUCCGGCCGGCCAGCGUGGUGGAGGGAGGGCGGUGGAGAUCAGGGAGACGGCAAGAGGAGGCCGUGUCCGUGGUCGGCGACCUGGUGACGGCGUUCGUCCCGGCACGGUGACGCCGCCACGCGCAAGGGCGGAGGCGUGCGGGAUGACUUGGCCGCGCGCGGGGCGGCGCUUGCGGCAGGCGGUACUCCACUCGGAGCGGCGGUGACCCAGAUCAAGGUGACGAUGGCGGCGGAGGUUGCAGUAGCCCCUCGGAUGGGCGGUGAUGGAGGCGUUCGCGGGAGCUGCUCACGUGGCCGAUGUGGCUGUGUGCGGCGGCACCGGCCCCGAGGGUCCUUCGGCCGAGCGGAGGUCGAGGCGGCGAUGGGAAGUGGAGGAGUGUGGCGGCAAAGCGAUGGCCGACGAGGUUGUGGCGAAGCGGCUGUGGCCCGUGGCACACGGGUCCGAGCGGCGUGGCGCCCACAAGCUGCUCGUCCGUGCGCCCUAGCCGACGGGUGAUGAUACGAAGGUGGCGGCGGGGAUUGGAGUGGCGACAGUGGAGGAUGGUGGAGUGAGGCGGCUUCUCUAGCCAUUGAUUUGCUUGGUGAUGCGGAUGGCUUCGAGGGGGAAGGAAAGGGGAAGGCAGAGGUGAUGUGGCGCGCGCCCAUUGCUUGGACGGCGGCGGCGUGGGCCCGGGCGUCGACAUCGACACAGUGGAGCACGUGUCGGCGGUGGAUGGGAUGGACGGCGAUGAGAUGCCGACAUCCACAGGAGAUUAUGUGGACUGGGUGCAUGGCGUAGGAGGGGCUGCGCCAGUGCGGCUCCCCGGCGGGGAUUUUGGACUUUAUGCCAUCUUCUCCAACGCCUCAUUCCUAAAUGCCACCCUCCUGAACAUCCUCGCUAAUUUGCCACUGGGCCCCACAAAACUGUUGUUUCUAUGCCAUUUUCCUCUAAUUUUAACGCCACCACACCGGCAGACGUGGAAUUCGGAUGGUGAAAUGUCCAUCUUGCCCCUUGGCGCGCGUGGACAGAAAAAGGCGUUGUUUCUUCGUCGUUUCACUCCGCCUCCCCUAAAAAACAUGAGCAGCCGCUUACGAAUCCACCGAGCAGCGACGGCGGCCAAACCGUGACAGCAAUCCCAGGUAGGAGAUCGAUAGAUCCACCAUCUUCCCCUCUUUUGGUUUAGUUUGGCAUCUGUUUCCCUCACUUUUUUCUCCGGAUUCACUUGUUUUUUUUUAAGAUCUGAUAGUCUAGGGUUUGUUGAGAAGGAGGCAUGGUUCCGUCUGAGUGGCCAUCGUGGUAAGAUCCAAAAUUCCUGCUUUAUUCUGUGUUGCUUUCAUGUGUCCACACACCACAGGGGCAAGACGGCCAAUUCACCAUCGAGAUUCCACGUCCGCUGUUGAUGUGGCGUCAAAAUGGGAAGAAAAUGGCAUAGAAUCAACCGUUUUGUGGGGUCAAUGGCAAAUUAGCGAGGAUGUUCAGGAGGAUGGCAUUUGGGAAUGAGGCGUUGGGGAAGAUGGCAUAAAGUACAAAAUCCCUCCCCGGCGUGCGUGCGUUGAACGUUAGUUCGGGGCGGCGCACGACACUGCUCGUGCUGCCGCGUGGUGCGGCGCGACACGGUGUGCGGUGCGACUCAGCGCGGGAGCGCAAUGCGGCGCACGCAAGGAGGAGGAGCGGUGCGGCACGUCGCGGUGGCUCGGUGACCUGGUGCGCCAGCCUUGCUCGGCUCGGCAUUUUGCCGACCACGUGGCGGGCGGCGUGUCGGCCUGGCCGACUGAGGCAAGGAAGGAGGGGAAGAAGACUCGGCUACAAUGGGGCAGGGGACGCAGAACGGACUUAUGCUGUAAUGAGCUGUUGGGUUGGCUGAGAACAGGAAAGCCCAAGCAAUAGGAGUAUUUGAAUGACUAUAACAAGGAAUUUGUAACUGGGACUUGAAAUUGGAAUUUGUAGAUUGCCUGUAAACAUGUAAUGGAUUGUAUGGUUGUAAAUGGACUGUAUAAUUGGACAAGUGACUUUGAGCCGAGAUUUGGGAUUGUGCACGGACUGUUUAA
Long non-coding RNA from Oryza sativa Japonica Group (Japanese rice), 2480 nucleotides. RefSeq lists it as uncharacterized. The record is from RefSeq and is a predicted model, not a curated record. NCBI's taxonomy places the organism in Eukaryota, Viridiplantae, Streptophyta, Magnoliopsida, Poales, Poaceae.